GAUGAAGAACGUAGCUAAAUGCGAUAAGUAAUGUGAAUUGCAGAAUUCAGUGAAUCAUCGAAUCUUUGAACGCACAUUGCGCCCGUCGGCAUUCCGGCGGGCACGCCUGUCCGAGCGUCAUCAGGAACCCAUCGGGCGGUCCCCUCGGGGACCGCCCGGCGUUGGGGCGCGCCGCCCGCGCCGUCAGGCGAAAGGCGGCGGCCCUCGAACCCAUCGGCGGUGCAUCGACGCGAGACCGACCGGCGUUGCGGAAUCGUCAAUCCGCCGGCGGCCGUCGAAGCUCCCUUCCGAAAGCUCCACGAGACGAAAAGGACCUCGGAUCAGGCGGGGUUACCCGCUGAACUUAAGCAUAUCAAUAAGCGGAGGA
RNAcentral lists this unclassified non-coding RNA (367 nucleotides) under soil metagenome. Its description in RNAcentral is "partial contains 5.8S ribosomal RNA, internal transcribed spacer 2, and large subunit ribosomal RNA". The stretch from base 1 to 120 matches the Rfam family "5.8S ribosomal RNA", at positions 35 to 154 of the family's 154-position model. The record is from RNAcentral.